GUUUGAUCCUGGUUCUUAACGAACGCUGGCGGCAGGCCUAACACAUGCGAGUCGAGCGCAUCCUUCGGGAUGAACGGCGGACGGGUUAGUAACACGUGGGAAUAUACCCAAAGGUACGGAAUACCCACUGGAAACGGUGAGUAAUACCGUAUGUGCCCUUCGGGGGAAAGAUUUAUCGCCUUUGGAUUAUCCCGCGUUAGAUUAGAUAGUUGGUGGGGUAACGGCCUACCAAGUCCACCAUCUAUAGCUGGUUUGACAGGAUGAUCACCCACACUGGGACUGAUACACGGCCCAUACUCCUACGGGAGGCAGCAGUGGGGAAUCUUGGACAAUGGGCGCCAGCCUGAUCCAGCCAUGCCGCGUGACUGAUGAAGGCCCUAGGGUCGUAAAGCUCUUUCGCCAGGGAUGAUAAUGACAGUACCUGGUAAAGAAACCCCGGCUAACUCCGUGUCACAGCCGCGG
Molecule: ribosomal RNA, 462 nt
Filed under: uncultured Ruegeria sp.
Lineage: Bacteria; Pseudomonadati; Pseudomonadota; Alphaproteobacteria; Rhodobacterales; Roseobacteraceae
Description: bacterial SSU rRNA
Rfam family: Bacterial small subunit ribosomal RNA
Source: RNAcentral